RNAcentral lists this long non-coding RNA (2391 nucleotides) under Capsicum annuum. RNAcentral describes it as "long non-coding RNA (CANN_LNC004872)". The record is from RNAcentral. Lineage: Eukaryota; Viridiplantae; Streptophyta; Magnoliopsida; Solanales; Solanaceae.
UAGGCCCAAAAGCACCACCAUACCAGCCUACUACACAUCCCAAACUGCCUCAAAUGUCCAGCCCAUCAGCUAUAAGACCCGACCCGGCCUACUUUAUCUCCUUUUCUUAGAACUCCAACAAUGACAAUACCCACAUAGGCGCACAGCUGUUAUCACAGCAAACAAAUGACAACAACUAUUUAAACCCGACAAAUCAGUCCGACAACCCGACUCCAAAAUCCAAUAAUAUCGCGUACAACAUCAAGUAACAGCAACAGCUGCUACACGAACUGGCAUAUGGCUUCAACAGCUUGAGGAGUUUCUAGAAACAGCGUAGGUGUCCCCUAAUGUACAAAAAUUCAUCACUCUUGAAUGAAUUUGUACGAAUUCGUACAUGGGUGUGAAUUUUUUAUUGGUUCUUGGGGAAUAAUUCGUUAUUCUUCAUUCCUAUUGGAUGCCAUAUCUCAAAUUGGGUGAAAUUUUUUAGGGGUAACCAAAUCCUCAACUUGUAUUUGAAUUUUCCCCCCAUAAAAUCCCCAAACUACCCCUGAAUUUUCUAAUUUUUACAUCGUUUGAAGACCAAAAUUGAACCCCCCACAUCUUUCUAUAAAAAUUUCAAUAUUGAGCUAAAAAAAGGAGGUCUCGGAAGGGGGAGAAAAAUCCUUGGAGCACAAAUUCAGUUCUUUUUUCAAGUAAAAUAUUUUCAAGAAUUAGUCAGCUAAUCGGAGUUUCGAGUUGAUGAGGAGGAAGUAUUCUGGUGGUGGCGAUCUCGACGUUAGCUCGUUAUCCCAUUUUGCUGCCCAAAUAUCAGCCAGUACUCGAUUCUUUCUUUUACUAUUGCGUUGUAAUGAUUGUAGGAGUAGUAACUUUGAUUAUUGCCUUGUAUGCUGGGAUUAGCUGCUGUAGAGGUCGUGAAGGUCAUAGGUUUCCUAUUCUUGCUUGAUAGAUAUUUCAGAAAAACUCGUUCUUGUCUUGGUUGUUUGGUUAAUUUUUAGAUUCUCGUUUUGAAUUUGAUUUCGAUAUUCGUACAAUGUCCAUGAGGGUUUGUUGUUAGGGAUGGAAUUUGACUGUGAUUGAAUUUAGCGAUGGGUUCUUUACAAUAUUUUAGGAAGACUGUUAUUGAUUUUCUGUCGUUUCAGUAUUGAACCUGUUUACUAUACAGUGUAAAAGAUUGUGACUUUGAUGUUUAGUCUAAAACAUAUUAUCUUUUGCCUUGAGUGGUAUAGUUGUGUAAGUCCAAAAUUGGUUGUUGUUUUUAUUUGUUUUGUCCUGCUCCUAUUUUCAUAAUCUUAAGAUUUUUUGUUGGGGUUAAAAUAAAUCGGAUAGGUAUGCAUAAUCUCUUACGAAUGUCCAGUUGUUCCCUAGGCUGGGUUUCGUUACUACUUGAUAUAUUGAGAUUGGUAAUUAUUAGAUAUUUAUAUUCAUGUGAUGUCUUCUCUUUUGAUUUCGAUUUUUCAAAGAUUGUUUUGACUUUGACGUGAUCUGGAUUCUCAAUCUUUAAGGCUUUUACUAUCACUUUUUUACUAGAUUUCCUUUUUCAUGAGAUUGGACUUGGUACAAACAAUUGCUUUGAAAAUUCCACCAUAAGUUUUUCUACUUCUUCAUCGCUGGUGUUAAACGGUUCAGGCAAGCAUAUUUUCCCUGAAUAAGAUUUUAAUACCUCUUGUGAUACAUCUGUGUCCUAGUUAAUCUCUCCCUUUAUACAUUAUCAAAUUUUUGCUUUCAUUUUUUCUGGACAUAUUUGGUGUAUUCAUACUUACUUUCAUUCCUUGUUUUUAUUUCUCUUACUUUUUAUAGGUCUUAAGUGAUCCUUUGAAUCAUGUCAAAUUAUCAUUUUAUCAUACUUGUAGCUAUUAUAAUAAGUCUGAAUGCAAAGGUUUACAUAUUCUAGGCAACUUUUUAAUAUGACUAAGUAAGUAAAAUAGUAAUUGUACAUUAACAGUUGAUCUAGUGGAUAGUGUUGGUUUAAGGCACAUUUUUGAACUAGUUUAACUUUGUAUGAUUAUUAGCCAUGUAACUAGUGUUGUCCAUUAUUUACUAAACAUCACUCUUUUAUGCAUGUGACAUUGGCUUGUCUCACCUCGAAAUUUAUUAAUUGCAUAUUUAUGUUAUUUUUAUCUAUUAUUCGGUUCUAACCCUUGUCAUUUUCUUUACAUUUAUUGGCUGGUCUGGGUCCAAAUGGACUCAAUUUCUUCUUGCAUUUGCCUUAUGGGCCAUUAAGGCCCAUCAUCGCCUCAAGUCGGCCUCAAAAUUGAAUCCCAAGUUGAUCAUAUGGCGUAUAGAUAUAAGAAAACAAGAGAAGAGGAUAGGUCGAAACCCAUUGUUAAAAGAUCGUUAAAUUUUGCAUUGUUGUGUUUACUUGUUCCUUUAUUUUUUUGUCUAUUUGUUUAUUCAUUUAGGCCUCAAAACCAA